This 1473-nucleotide long non-coding RNA is filed under the name Ananas comosus (pineapple). RNAcentral's name for it is "long non-coding RNA (ACOM_LNC025599)". The record is from RNAcentral. Lineage: Eukaryota; Viridiplantae; Streptophyta; Magnoliopsida; Poales; Bromeliaceae.
UUGGGGUGUGGGAAGGGUUACGAGAGAGAGAGAGAGAGAGAGAGAGAGAGAGAGAGAGAGAGGGGUUCAUUAUUUUUUUUGAGAGAUAGGUAGCACACUAUCCGCUUAGUUUAUUUUAUUUAGAAAUAAACUUAGCUGAAAAUGUGAAUCAACUAGAAUUCGAACUUGAGACCUCAGGUACGAGCCACCAAACCUUUUGCCACUUGCUCCAGGGACGGUCGGUAGAGAGCCAACUAAUAGCACUUGAUAAAAAGUGAGCUUAUUAAAUUUGAUCGCCAUUUAGUAAUUAAAUUUGACUAGAUUUAGUGAAUCAAAUAUAUCUUGAUAAAAAGUGAGCCAACUGAUAGCACUUCACUAUUAACAUAGGCCAAUAUAGUCUUUUUUUUGAAAGAGAGAAAGAUAAUAUGCCAUAUGUAUCAUUUAUUUUUGGGAAAACUUAAAAAACCCCCUUGUGGUUUCACUUUUUUCACUUUAGUAUUCUGUGGUUUAAAGUGUAUCAAGUUAGUACCCCGUGGUUUCUCACUUUAUCAAUUUAGUACCUUGUGGUUUAAAGUGUAUCAAGUUAGUACCCUGUGGUUUUAUUUUUGUAUCAAGUUAGUAUUCUGUGGUUUUUUUCCACAGGGUACUAAAGUGAUAAAGUGCGAAACCACAGAAUACUAAAGUGAUAAAGUGUGAAACCACAGGUACUAAUUUGAUACCUUUUAUACCACAGGGUACUAAAGUGAAAAAAAGUGAAACUACAUGGUACUAACUUGAUACACUUUAAACCACUAGGUACUAAAGUGAAAAACAGUGAAACCACAAGGGGGGUAUUUGAAGUUUUCCCUUUAUUUUUUUUUAGUAAAAAUGUAUGAAGCUUAUUUGAACUAUAUAUAGAUCAUUUUGAUUUUGGCUAUCAAAUCCUUCAAAAAUACCUAACUUUACAAUUUGUUUGAUUUGAGUUAGUCAGUGACGCUUUGACUCUAUAAUUUAAGCUAAUUACGUAUGUUAAUGAAUUUACAGUUAUGACAAUUGCAUGAAAUAUAUACUAAAUAAAUCUAUAAAGAUAAAUUACGUAUUCAAAUUGUUGUUCAUUGACUUAAGUCAAAUAAAUUGAACUGUUAGGUAGUAAAAUUAAAAUUUUGAAAGGUUAGAUAUCUAAAUCCAAAUGGUUUAUAGUUCGGAUAAAUUUUAUAUAGCUUUAUCUUAGAAAUAAACUUAGCUGAAAAUGUGAAACAAUUAUGAUUCGAACUUAGGAUCUCAGAUAUCAAUCAUCAAACUCUUUAUCACUUGCACUAUGGAUGAUCAGUAAUAUAGUCUUUAAAAAGGAAAAUCUUCAGAUCUACUAUUUAAAAAUGUGUGAAUUAGACUGUAAGAACUUAUGCCCUUUAUCACUUGCACUAGAGAUGAUCAGUAAUAUAGUCUUUUGAUAAGUAAUAUAGUCUUUAAAAAGGAAAAUCUUCUGAUGUACUAUUUAAAAAUGUGUGACUAUAA